AGACGAAGGUGACGACCGUUGCUCGGAAUCACUGGGCAUAAAGCGCGCGUAGGUGGCUUGGUAAGUCCAUGGUGAAAUCCCUCGGCUCAACCGAGGAACUGCCGUGGAUACUGCCGAGCUUGAGUACGGGAGGGGUGAAUGGAACUCUCGGUGCAGCGGUGAAAUGCGUAGAUAUCGAGAGGAACGCCGGCGGCGAAAGCGAUUCACUGGACCGUAACUGACACUGAGGCGCGAGAGCUAGGGGAGCAAACAGGAUUAGAUACCCUGGUAGUCCUAGCUGUAAACGAUGAGUACUGGGUAGGGUCGGUCCAAUGCCGGCCCUGCCGGAGCAAAUGUGUUAAGUACUCCGCCUGGGGAGUAUGGUCGCAAGGCUAAA
RNAcentral lists this ribosomal RNA (376 nucleotides) under uncultured bacterium. Its description in RNAcentral is "bacterial SSU rRNA". It matches the Rfam family "Bacterial small subunit ribosomal RNA", at positions 523 to 898 of the family's 1533-position model. The record is from RNAcentral.